UAGAUUGAAGCCAGUUGAUUAGAGUGUUUAUCUGUUAAUUAAAUGUUCGUGGGUUUAAGUCCCAUCAAUCUAG
This is a transfer RNA of Pan troglodytes (chimpanzee), 73 nucleotides long. It matches the Rfam family "tRNA". Rfam says of the family: Transfer RNA (tRNA) molecules are approximately 80 nucleotides in length. Their secondary structure includes four short double-helical elements and three loops (D, anti-codon, and T loops). The record is from Rfam. Lineage: Eukaryota; Metazoa; Chordata; Mammalia; Primates; Hominidae.